ACUAUGUUCCCUAGUAACGGCGAGUGAUUGUAGGCAGAGCUCAAGUGAAAUCGUGAGUCCUUUUUUGGCCUUACGAAUUGUAGCCUCUAGAGGCGUGACCAGUGGAGAGGCAGGUCCAAGUUUCUUGGAACAGAACUUCAGAGAGGGUGACAGUCCCGUCCUUUGUCCUGCUUUUUUUUCCACGUACGGUGCGCUUUUAUUGAGUCGCGUUCGUUGGGAUUCGAGCGCAAAAUGUGUGAUAAGUUUCACAUAAAGCUAAAUAUUGGCGUGAGACCGAUAGCGAACAAGUACUGUGAAGGAAAGAUGAAAAGGACUUUGGAAAGAGAGUUAAAAGUGUCUGAAAUUGCUGAAAGUUAAUGUCCGAUGCGAAGGACGAUUGACCUGUGUCGUAGUGAUCGUGAGUAUGUAGUCUCUACAUGCUCGUAGUGUGUGAAGUCUUGACGUCGUCUUGUCUAUAUCCCAUAGAUGUGCAGCACACAGUGGUUCUCCCAGAAUAUCUCCCGAGAGAAGUAAUCCUUCGGGAGUCUAUAGCCCUCGGUUUUGUUGUCAGGUAUCCACUGAGUGUGUUUUUGCGAUCGUCAGCUGCACUUUCGAGUACUGGCGUCUGCGUUGCUGUCCUAACCGUUCCACCGACCCGUCCUGAAACCACGACCAAAGAAUCUAACAUAAGUGCGAGUAUGCGGGUUGUACCCCUGUUAGCACAAUGAAAGUGAGAGUAGGGAGAGGUUUGUCUUUUUCCAUUCCUAGCACUUACGACCGACCACGAGCUCUGUGAGAGGUUUGAGUUGUAGCACAUCUGUUAGGACCCGAAAGAUGGUGAACUAUGCCUGAGUAGGGUGAAGUCAGGCGAAAGCCUGAUGGAAGCUCGUAGCGAUACUGACGUGCAAAUCGUUCGUCAAACUUGGGUAUAGGGGCGAAAGACUAAUCGAACCGUCUAGUAGCUGGUUUCUUCCGAAGUUUCUCUCAGGAUAGCUGGAGUUCUAUUAGUUUUAUCAGGUAAAGCGAAUGAUUAGAGGCCUCGGGGGCGCGUCGCCCUCGACCUAUUCUCAAACUUUAAAUGGGUAAGAUCCAGUGGUUACUUCAUUGAACUGCUGGGGUUAAUAUGAACUCCAAGUGGGCCAUUUUUGGUAAGCAGAACUGGCGAUGAGGGAUGCUCCUAACGCUUGGUUAAGGUGCCUAAAUACUCGCUCAUGAGACACCAUAAAAGGUGUUGGUUCAUUUUGACAGCAGGACGGUGGUCAUGGAAGUCGAAAUCCGCUAAGAAGUGUGUAACAACUUACCUGCCGAAUGAACCAGCCCUGAAAAUGGAUGGCGCUGCAGCGGGUUACCGAUACCAGGCCAUUAUCGCAAGUUUGUGGACACUCGACUUUUGCCGUAUUUUGG
RNAcentral lists this ribosomal RNA (1383 nucleotides) under Eimeria mayurai. RNAcentral describes it as "partial large subunit ribosomal RNA". It matches the Rfam family "Eukaryotic large subunit ribosomal RNA", at positions 68 to 1371 of the family's 3401-position model. The record is from RNAcentral. Lineage: Eukaryota; Apicomplexa; Conoidasida; Eucoccidiorida; Eimeriidae.